GAAAAAAAACAUACAAAAUAUAUAUUUUUUUAAAACAUAGGUCUUUUCUACAGAGAAAUUGCAAAGGAAGUCAAGGUGUCAGUGAGUACAGUUUCCUUCACCGUUAAAAGGCACUCAGAAACUGGGGGAAACUCUGACAGGAAGAGAUCUGGCAGACUCAAAGCCACAACAGAAUCAGAACACAACUUCUGAGAGUCAACAGCGUAUGUGAUGGGAGGCUCACAGGACAACAGCUUCAAGCACAGCGUAAUCAUGGUCUUAAUUGGUUGCACAAAAGGAAUGGAUUUGUUGGACUGUAACAAGCACAGCCAGAGAGCUCGAUGCUAACUCGAGGGAAAUCUCCUGUGAUGUAAAACAGAGGAAAGAGACAAUAAAGCAGAGGACAGA
Acanthopagrus latus (yellowfin seabream) is the source of this 387-nucleotide long non-coding RNA. RefSeq lists it as uncharacterized. The transcript has 2 exons. The record is from RefSeq and is a predicted model, not a curated record. Lineage: Eukaryota; Metazoa; Chordata; Actinopteri; Spariformes; Sparidae.